AGUGAACGCUGGCGGUAGGCCUAACACAUGCAAGUCGAACGGCAGCACAGUAAGAGCUUGCUCUUACGGGUGGCGAGUGGCGGACGGGUGAGGAAUACAUCGGAAUCUACUUUUUCGUGGGGGAUAACGUAGGGAAACUUACGCUAAUACCGCAUACGACCUACGGGUGAAAGCAGGGGAUCUUCGGACCUUGCGCGAUUGAAUGAGCCGAUGUCGGAUUAGCUAGUUGGCGGGGUAAAGGCCCACCAAGGCGACGAUCCGUAGCUGGUCUGAGAGGAUGAUCAGCCACACUGGAACUGAGACACGGUCCAGACUCCUACGGGAGGCAGCAGUGGGGAAUAUUGGACAAUGGGCGCAAGCCUGAUCCAGCCAUACCGCGUGGGUGAAGAAGGCCUUCGGGUUGUAAAGCCCUUAUGUUGGGAAAGAAAAGCAGCAGGUUAAUACCCCGCUGUUCUGACGGUACCCAAAGAAUAAGCACCGGCUAACUUCGUG
This 492-nucleotide ribosomal RNA is filed under the name uncultured bacterium. RNAcentral's name for it is "partial 16S ribosomal RNA". It matches the Rfam family "Bacterial small subunit ribosomal RNA", at positions 29 to 507 of the family's 1533-position model. The record is from RNAcentral.